RNAcentral lists this ribosomal RNA (497 nucleotides) under uncultured bacterium. RNAcentral's name for it is "partial 16S ribosomal RNA". It matches the Rfam family "Bacterial small subunit ribosomal RNA", at positions 28 to 507 of the family's 1533-position model. The record is from RNAcentral.
GAUGAACGCUGGCGGCGUGCCUAAUACAUGCAAGUCGAGCGAACGGACGAGAAGCUUGCUUCUCUGAUGUUAGCGGCGGACGGGUGAGUAACACGUGGAUAACCUACCUAUAAGACUGGGAUAACUUCGGGAAACCGGAGCUAAUACCGGAUAAUAUUUUGAACCGCAUGGUUCAAAAGUGAAAGACGGCCUUGCUGUCACUUAUAGAUGGAUCCGCGCUGCAUUAGCUAGUUGGUAAGGUAACGGCUUACCAAGGCGACGAUGCAUAGCCGACCUGAGAGGGUGAUCGGCCACACUGGAACUGAGACACGGUCCAGACUCCUACGGGAGGCAGCAGUAGGGAAUCUUCCGCAAUGGGCGAAAGCCUGACGGAGCAACGCCGCGUGAGUGAUGAAGGUCUUCGGAUCGUAAAACUCUGUUAUUAGGGAAGAACAUAUGUGUAAGUAACUGUGCACAUCUUGACGGUACCUAAUCAGAAAGCCACGGCUAACUACGUG